RNAcentral lists this ribosomal RNA (397 nucleotides) under uncultured bacterium. RNAcentral's name for it is "partial 16S ribosomal RNA". It matches the Rfam family "Bacterial small subunit ribosomal RNA", at positions 523 to 918 of the family's 1533-position model. The record is from RNAcentral.
AUACGUAGGUGACAAGCGUUAUCCGGAUUUACUGGGUGUAAAGGGCGUGUAGGCGGUUUAGCAAGUCAGAAGUGAAAUUCCCGGGCUUAACUUGGGCGCUGCUUCUGAAACUGCUUUACUUGAGUGCUGGAGAGGAUAGUGGAAUUCCUUGUGUAGCGGUAAAAUGCGCAGAUAUUAGGAGGAACACCGGUGGCGAAGGCGGCUAUCUGGACAGUAACUGACGCUGAGGCGCGAAAGCACGGGGAGCAAACAGGAUUAGAUACCCUGGUAGUCCGUGCCGUAAACGAUGAAUACUAGGUGUAGGGGGUAUCGACUCCCUCUGUGCCGCAGUUAACACAUUAAGUAUUCCACCUGGGGAGUACGGCCGCAAGGUUGAAACUCAAAGGAAUUGACGGGG